Molecule: non-coding RNA, 30 nt
Filed under: Mus musculus (house mouse)
Lineage: Eukaryota; Metazoa; Chordata; Mammalia; Rodentia; Muridae
Source: RNAcentral
UAGUGAAUUUACCUGCCAUGAUUUUACUGC